AGGGUUUGAUCAUGGCUCAGGAUGAACGCUAGCGGCAGGCUUAACACAUGCAAGUCGAGGGGUAACAGGAGUGCUUGCACUUGCUGACGACCGGCGCACGGGUGCGUAACGCGUAUACAAUCUACCUUAUACUGGGGGAUAGCCUUUGGAAACGAAGAUUAAUACCCCAUAGUAUUACUGAAUGGCAUCGUUUAGUGAUUAAAACUCCGGUGGUAUAAGAUGAGUAUGCGUUCUAUUAGCUAGAUGGAGAGGUAACGGCUCCCCAUGGCAACGAUAGAUAGGGGUCCUGAGAGGGAGAUCCCCCACACUGGUACUGAGACACGGACCAGACUCCUACGGGAGGCAGCAGUGAGGAAUAUUGGACAAUGGAGGCAACUCUGAUCCAGCCAUGCCGCGUGCAGGAAGACUGCCCUAUGGGUUGUAAACUGCUUUUAUACAGGAAGAAUAAGAGCUACGUGUAGCUUGAUGACGGUACUGUAAGAAUAAGCACCGGCUAACUCCGUGCCAGCAGCCGCGGUAAUACGGAGGGUGCAAGCGUUAUCCGGAAUCAUUGGGUUUAAAGGGUCCGUAGGCGGGUUUAUAAGUCAGUGGUGAAAUGCUGUGGCUCAACCAUAGCACUGCCAUUGAUACUGUAGAUCUUGAAUCGUUGUGAAGUGGUUAGAAUAUGUAGUGUAGCGGUGAAAUGCUUAGAUAUUACAUAGAAUACCGAUUGCGAAGGCAGAUCACUAACAACGUAUUGACGCUGAUGGACGAAAGCGUAGGUAGCG
This 767-nucleotide ribosomal RNA is filed under the name uncultured bacterium. RNAcentral's name for it is "bacterial SSU rRNA". It matches the Rfam family "Bacterial small subunit ribosomal RNA", at positions 8 to 770 of the family's 1533-position model. The record is from RNAcentral.